RNAcentral lists this unclassified non-coding RNA (190 nucleotides) under soil metagenome. RNAcentral describes it as "partial internal transcribed spacer 1". The record is from RNAcentral.
CAGAGACACUUUGUCUUACUAGUAUUGUGAACUGUGUUUUUACUGGGGAGGUCGAGUGGUAUUGGUGAGAUAGAGUGUGAGCCCUCUGUGGUUUGCACACUCUUACCAGUACCACUUACACUCGGCCGACCUACUUUAUUUAAACGUAUCACUCACUCAAUUCACUUAAAAGCUUUAUUUAAUAUAAAGA